This is an unclassified non-coding RNA of Cebus imitator (Panamanian white-faced capuchin), 296 nucleotides long. It matches the Rfam family "Metazoan signal recognition particle RNA". From Rfam's summary of the family: The signal recognition particle (SRP) is a universally conserved ribonucleoprotein. It is involved in the co-translational targeting of proteins to membranes. NCBI's taxonomy places the organism in Eukaryota, Metazoa, Chordata, Mammalia, Primates, Cebidae. The record is from Ensembl.
GCCAGGCACGGUGGUGCGUGCCUGUAGUCCCAGCUACUCAGGCUGAGGCUGGAGGAUCACUUGAGCCCGGGAGUUCUGGGCUAUAGUGCGCUAUGCCGAUCAGGUGUCCACACUAAGUUCGGCAUCAAUAUGGUGACCUCCCGGGAUCAGGGAACCACCAGGUUGCCUAAGGCGGGGUGAACCGGCCCAGAUCAGAAACGGAGCAGGUCAAAACUCCUGUGCUGAUCAGUAGUGGGAUCGCACCUGUGAAUAGCCACUGAACUCCAGCCUGGGCAACACAGCGGGACUCUGUCUCU